Long non-coding RNA from Polyodon spathula (Mississippi paddlefish), 1834 nucleotides. RefSeq lists it as uncharacterized. Lineage: Eukaryota; Metazoa; Chordata; Actinopteri; Acipenseriformes; Polyodontidae. The record is from RefSeq and is a predicted model, not a curated record. The transcript has 3 exons.
UUUCAGGAACCAGGGUUAUGGUAAUAACCUAACGUUCUCAUGUUAAGCAUUUAAUUAUGGUAUAUAGUAGUGAGUGGGCCAUGUGGAAUACGUUAACACAUUUUACCAAUGUGUAAGCAAACUUCCUAACGUGUUUAAUUUAACAUUGUGUCACAAGUUUCUCUUAAUAAGCAGGUGGGUUUACAAUAUGUUCCUCCUAAAAUCGACAAGCAGCCACCACCUAUUGGAGCUCCAAUUCAGUCUCUAAAAUACUGUUUGAAUUCGACUUAAAACUUAAAUUAUUUUAUAGGGCGCGGGCACGACGCGCGGGCACGAUUGGCAGCUCCACGUCGACAUUCUUCCAGAUGCAGACUUCUAUUAUACAGAGAGAGGCAAGCCGACGCGGAGGUGCUCCGUUGUACUAGUAGAUCAGCAGCUGUUCAUCUAGGACGGCCGACAAAAGCACCAUUCAAAAAUUCCAAAAAAUAAAUAAAUAAAAAGAAAAGAAAAAAAAAAUCACGUUGCGAAUUUCGGUUGUCAAGAUGCCUGUUGCUGUAUACCAAUUCCUUACAUUUAAGCUUAUAUUUCAUAGUCUGUCUGGCAGCGGCAGCUGGAGGCGUAGUGUGCACUUACUCCAGUCAGCACUGUGGAUUCAACCUGGAUGCAUCAACUGCCAUUCAGUGGUUAUCCCAGUACCCCUUAGUGGGUGCUGCACUGCAAUGAUUCGUGACAACAGCGAUGCCUUGGACAAUACUGAGGGUGCACAGUGGCUUUCAAAGUAAAGUUCUGUAAUACACUUAGAUUCUAAUUGUUUGCAGUCAGUGCAUUACAGAACUUUGCUUUGGGAGUUUACGUUCUGUCUGUGGGAAAAUAAAUGGUAUCUCUAAAGGUUGUGAAAAUGAAGUGCAUACAGUACAUUGGUUAUUUUAUUAGCCAGUUGGACAUAUAUCAUUUUUAAUCUGCUGUUUGUUUCUGACCGAUUCAUUUUGAUCCUCCUGUGUCCGAUCAGCAUGGAUGGGUGCAAUGACCUCCUCUCAUUUGUAACUUUUCUUAUGUUCUUUAUGUUCUCAUAUGUGUUUUGUACAUUUUUUAAAAAAAAACCUUUUUAAAGAUUGAUGUUAUUUGCAUUCCAAGCUAAUUUGUCAAAAGCCUCAUGAUCAGUUUUAAGGGUAAUGUAUUAUACAUGCUAGAUUUUGUGUCUGUAAUACAUGAUCACCAUUUAGACACAUUGGAUACAAUUUUUAACAGUGUAAAAGGUUACAGAGAAAUCUAUAUUUACAGUGGGAAAGACAGAUGAGAAAGAACAACCAAAUUAAGGUAUACGUUUUCAUGCCAUAUUACACAUGCUUUUCCUGGCAUAGUUUAAUCAUUCUCAGAAACUUUUGAUGUACAUUGAUUGCUUUGAACCUGUGGUGUGGUGUAAAAUAAAUAUUUGUUACAGUCAGUUAUAAUCCAAGAGUAAGUAAUGAUACAGCUUAAAUGUAUGUGGCUAUCACAUUUAAAUUCAGAUAUUUUCCACAUGCUAUAAUUCAUUUUCCAUGCUUUGUUGAGUUCUCUCUGUACUUACUAGAACUAUUUAAUUCAACAUCCACUGUUGUAAAUUCCAGCAAUGACUAGCACUGGUUCAUCCUGCUUUAGAGAUAGAACUGGUACUGCUGUGUUUUAGCAGGUGAGACUGGUUGAAGAGAAUAACACUGCCCAAUUAAUUAAAAAAAAAAAAAAAGUCAUUGAUGUAAUUGUUUUACAUAAAUCUGUUUCUGGGCUUUAACUAUUAGUUAGGUAAUACACAAAAAUCUGUGUUUAAUUCUAUAUUCUUUUUUCUAGCAAGUCUUCUAAAAUAAAAAAUAAAAAAAUA